UACGUAGGGGGCAAGCGUUGUCCGGAUUUAUUGGGCGUAAAGAGCGUGUAGGCGGCCUGAAAGGUCAGCUGUGAAAACUCGAGGCUCAACCUCGAGACGUCGGUUGAAACCAUCAGACUAGAGUCCGGAAGAGGAGAGUGGAAUUCCUGGUGUAGCGGUGAAAUGCGCAGAUAUCAGGAAGAACACCCGUGGCUAAGGCGGCUCUCUAGUACGGUACUGACGCUGAGACGCGAAAGCGUGGGGAGCGAACAGG
This 253-nucleotide ribosomal RNA is filed under the name uncultured bacterium. RNAcentral's name for it is "partial 16S ribosomal RNA". It matches the Rfam family "Bacterial small subunit ribosomal RNA", at positions 524 to 776 of the family's 1533-position model. The record is from RNAcentral.